GACAGAGGGUGCAAACGUUGUUCGGAAUUACUGGGCGUAAAGCGCGUGUAGGCGGCUUGGCAAGUCGGGUGUGAAAUCCCCGGGCUCAACCCGGGAAGUGCACUCGAAACUGGCGGGCUAGAGUACUGGAGAGGUUGGUGGAAUUCUCGGUGUAGAGGUGAAAUUCGUAGAUAUCGAGAGGAACACCGGUGGCGAAGGCGGCGUUCUGGACUGUCUCUGACACUGAAGAACGAAAGCCAGGGGAGCAAACGGG
RNAcentral lists this ribosomal RNA (253 nucleotides) under uncultured bacterium. RNAcentral describes it as "partial 16S ribosomal RNA". It matches the Rfam family "Bacterial small subunit ribosomal RNA", at positions 524 to 776 of the family's 1533-position model. The record is from RNAcentral.